AGCAGUAGCCGCGGGAACACGAAGGGGGCUAGCGUUGCUCGGAAUUACUGGGCGUAAAGGGAGCGUAGGCGGGUCGUUUAGUCAGAGGUGAAAUCCCGGGGCUCAACCUCGGAACUGCCUUUGAUACUGGCGACCUUGAGUAUGGGAGAGGUGAGUGGAACUCCGAGUGUAGAGGUGAAAUUCGUAGAUAUUCGGAAGAACACCAGUGGCGAAAGCGACUCACUGGCCCAUUACUGACGCUGAGGCUCGAAAGCGUGGGGAGCAAACAGGAUUAGAUACCCCGGUAGUCCCUGUCUCUUAUAC
Molecule: ribosomal RNA, 303 nt
Filed under: uncultured bacterium
Lineage: Bacteria
Description: partial 16S ribosomal RNA
Rfam family: Bacterial small subunit ribosomal RNA
Source: RNAcentral